Long non-coding RNA from Arabidopsis lyrata subsp. lyrata, 618 nucleotides. RefSeq lists it as uncharacterized. The record is from RefSeq and is a predicted model, not a curated record. NCBI's taxonomy places the organism in Eukaryota, Viridiplantae, Streptophyta, Magnoliopsida, Brassicales, Brassicaceae. The transcript is spliced from 3 exons.
ACUUUUAUAUUGUGUGUGUUGGUAUGCUAAUCUCUCCUAUCAUUUGUUUCUCAUGUUCUAGGACGAUUGAGCUUCUCUUUGAGUUGUUGCUAUGGUUUCUUUAAUAUGUUGAGCUUCUCUUGUGGUAUCCCUGAUUCUUUUCUCAUUCUUAGCAUACCCAUAACCACUGUAGCUUCUGAAUCUUCUUUUAGUAUUGGAUCUCAUUUGAUCAACAAAUACCGGAGUCGACUUCUUCCUAGUAACGUCCAAGCGUUACUAUGUACACGAUCUUGGAUACAUGGUUACAAGGUUGAUGAUGAAGAUAGCAAUGGCGAGAUAGUUACUAUUCGGUCGGAUCCAAUUUCUGUGGAAGAACAAUCUGCUCUUUCUAUCUAAAUAGGUCCAGAUGGUUUGUUUGAGGUGAAGCACAAACAGAGUCUUGCGUGUUCACAAUAACGUCUUCUUUGAAAGGCUAAAAAUGCUUUACCGUAUUUGUUCUUAACUUCUGUAAUGAUUUGCUACUCUCCUUUCUUUUGUUGGGAAAUAAGAGUUCAAACUUUGCUUGGUUUUUGUCCAAGACUUAUGUUUCCUUCAAAUCUCUUGUGAUUCAUUCUCAAUAAAAAGGAACUUCCUUAAUUU